CCUACGGGAGGCAGCAGUAGGGAAUUUUUCACAAUGGGCGAAAGCCUGAUGGAGCAACGCCGCGUGCAGGAUGAAGGCCUUCGGGUUGUAAACUGCUUUUAUAAGCGAGAAAUAUGAUGGUAACUUAUGAAUAAGGAUCGGCUAACUACGUGCCAGAAGCCGCGGUCAUACGUAGGAUCCGAGCAUUAUCCGGAGUGACUGGGUGUAAAGAGUUGCGUAGGUGGCAUAAUAAGUAGCUAGUGAAAUCGGGUGGCUCAACCAUUCAGACUAUUAGCUAAACUGUUAAGCUCGAGACCGUUAGGGGUAACUGGAAUUUCUAGUGUAGGAGUGAAAUCCGUAGAUAUUAGAAGGAACACCAAUAGCGUAGGCAGGUUACUGGGACGGUUCUGACACUAAGGCACGAAAGCGUAGGGAGCAAACGGGAUUAGAUACCCGUGUAGUC
RNAcentral lists this ribosomal RNA (442 nucleotides) under uncultured bacterium. RNAcentral's name for it is "partial 16S ribosomal RNA". It matches the Rfam family "Bacterial small subunit ribosomal RNA", at positions 338 to 795 of the family's 1533-position model. The record is from RNAcentral.